RNAcentral lists this ribosomal RNA (442 nucleotides) under uncultured bacterium. Its description in RNAcentral is "partial 16S ribosomal RNA". It matches the Rfam family "Bacterial small subunit ribosomal RNA", at positions 339 to 795 of the family's 1533-position model. The record is from RNAcentral.
CUACGGGAGGCAGCAGUGGGGAAUAUUGGGCAAUGGGCGCAAGCCUGACCCAGCAACGCCGCGUGAAGGAAGAAGGCUUUCGGGUUGUAACCUUCUUUUGGCAGGGACGAAGCAAGUGAAGGUACCUGAAGAAAAAGGCACGGCUAACUACGUGCCAGCAGCCGCGGUAAUACGUAGGUGGAAAGCGUUAUCCUGAUUUAUUGGGUGUAAAGGGCGGGUAGGCGGGAAUGCAAGUCAGAUGGGAAAACGAUGGGCUCAACCCAUAGCCUGCAUUUGAAACGUUAUUUCUUGAGUGCUGGAGAGGCAAUCGGAAUUCCGUGUGUAGCGGUGAAAUGCGUAGAUAUACGGAGGAACACCAGUGGCGAAGGCGGAUUGCUGGACAGUAACUGACGCUGAGGCGCGAAAGCGUGGGGAGCAAACAGGAUUAGAUACCCGAGUAGUC